CCUACGGGGGGCUGCAGUGGGGAAUAUUGCACAAUGGGCGAAAGCCUGAUGCAGCGACGCCGCGUGAGGGAUGACGGCCUUCGGGUUGUAAACCUCUUUCAGUAGGGAAGAAGCGAGAGUGACGGUACCUGCAGAAGAAGCGCCGGCUAACUACGUGCCAGCAGCCGCGGUAAUACGUAGGGCGCAAGCGUUGUCCGGAAUUAUUGGGCGUAAAGAGCUUGUAGGUGGCUUGUCGCGUCUGCCGUGAAAACCCGAGGCUCAACCUCGGGCGUGCGGUGGGUACGGGCAGGCUAGAGUGUGGUAGGGGAGACUGGAACUCCUGGUGUAGCGGUGAAAUGCGCAGAUAUCAGGAAGAACACCGAUGGCGAAGGCAGGUCUCUGGGCCAUUACUGACACUGAGAAGCGAAAGCAUGGGUAGCGAACAGGAUUAGAUACCCGAGUAGUC
Molecule: ribosomal RNA, 445 nt
Filed under: uncultured Actinomycetales bacterium
Lineage: Bacteria; Bacillati; Actinomycetota; Actinomycetes; Actinomycetales
Description: bacterial SSU rRNA
Rfam family: Bacterial small subunit ribosomal RNA
Source: RNAcentral